CGCACAUUGCGCCCGCCAGUAUUCUGGCGGGCAUGCCUGUUCGAGCGUCAUUUCAACCCCUCAGGCCCUGGUGCCUGGCGUCGGGGCUCUCCCUCGCGGGAGGCCCCCAGAGACAGUGGCGGACCCGCCGCGGCUCCGAGCGCAGUAGUAGAAUCUUCGCUCAGGAGGCCCGUGGAGGUGCUUUCCGGCCGUAAAACCAGGUCUGCGAAGACCGACCCCACCAAGGUUGACCUCGGAUCAGGUAGGAAUACCCGCUGAACUUAA
This 264-nucleotide unclassified non-coding RNA is filed under the name Sordariomycetes sp. RNAcentral's name for it is "partial contains 5.8S ribosomal RNA, internal transcribed spacer 2, and large subunit ribosomal RNA". Lineage: Eukaryota; Fungi; Ascomycota; Sordariomycetes. The record is from RNAcentral.